Molecule: ribosomal RNA, 305 nt
Filed under: uncultured bacterium
Lineage: Bacteria
Description: bacterial SSU rRNA
Rfam family: Bacterial small subunit ribosomal RNA
Source: RNAcentral
CCCUACGGGGCGCAGCAGUGAGGAAUAUUGGUCAAUGGGCUUACGCCUGAACCAGCCAAGUCGCGUGAGGGAAGACUGCCCUAUGGGUUGUAAACCUCUUUUGUCAGGGAGCAAUGGCGCUACGUGUAGCGUUAUCGAGAGUACCUGAAGAAAAAGCAUCGGCUAACUCCGUGCCAGCAGCCGCGGUAAUACGGAGGAUGCGAGCGUUAUCCGGAUUUAUUGGGUUUAAAGGGUGCGUAGGCGGAAUGCCAAGUCAGCGGUAAAAUCGCGGGGCUCAACCUCGCUCCGCCGUUGAAACUGGCGUU